GCAAAAUAGUGAACAGGGGGAGACAAAGAAACCGAGGCUGAGGAAUGGGAUGUGAAAGGUGGUUGGCAAGGAAGAUUCUUUCAGUGGCGAUGGAACUUCAGAGACUGACUUCAAACUGGAUUCCCAAACACGUGUCCAAACACAGCAGCAUUUUUCCUGGCCUGCACCUGAGGACUACCUAAGACAAAGCUGUAAGGUGUCCCUGGGGGCAGCACCUCCAUUUACCUCUCACAUCUAAAGAAAGACCCCUAAUAGCUCUGGCCAAUGUGGCAGAACGAAGAGGCAGAUGUUGCUACCCUUCCCCAAACAUGAAAACACAUUUAUAAACUGAUGGGAGGGGGAAAAAAAAAAAGAAGUACCUGCAAGAUGCAUUAUGUACCAUUCCAAGUUGCAUCGGUGCAAUCUGCUUUUAUUGGCAUACUUUGGUAUCAAAACCCUGCCACCAAUAUCUCAGAUCCUUCAGCUAUAUGAAGAUAAUUAAGCAUUAACCACAUCUUCAACAUACAACAUGGCCAAAUAUAAAUACAUGAAAAAGAACAAAACAUGCAAGGAUUCACCAACAUGAAAAGGAUUCCUCAUUCAAAAACGUAUGUCAGUGAGGUACCUGCACGAGCCACAGUUUCUUUCCCAUUUUCCCACAUCAGGUUUGUGAACAGUUAACAAACCGGUGUGAGAGAUGAGUGGCUUUGAAUCACACUUCAAGAAAACAGCAACCUGUUAAAUCCUCGUGACUCCAAAUGACCGAUACGUACACUGUUUCUCAAAGUGAUGGCUACUAAAUGGCCAUUCAUACAACAGCAUAAAUAUUUG
Molecule: long non-coding RNA, 810 nt
Filed under: Gallus gallus (chicken)
Lineage: Eukaryota; Metazoa; Chordata; Aves; Galliformes; Phasianidae
Description: long non-coding RNA NONGGAT009322
Source: RNAcentral